RNAcentral lists this ribosomal RNA (759 nucleotides) under uncultured Prevotella sp. RNAcentral's name for it is "bacterial SSU rRNA". It matches the Rfam family "Bacterial small subunit ribosomal RNA", at positions 28 to 776 of the family's 1533-position model. The record is from RNAcentral. Lineage: Bacteria; Pseudomonadati; Bacteroidota; Bacteroidia; Bacteroidales; Prevotellaceae.
GAUGAACGCUGGCUACAGGCUUAACACAUGCAAGUCGAGGGGAAACGACGGGGAAGCUUGCUUCCCCGGGCGUCGACCGGCGCACGGGUGAGUAACGCGUAUCCAACCUGCCUCUGACUGAGGGAUAACCCGUCGAAAGUCGGCCUAAUACCUCAUGGCAUCGUCUGCGGGCACCCAACGACGAUUAAAGAUUUCAUCGGUCAGGGAUGGGGAUGCGUCUGAUUAGCUUGUUGGCGGGGUAACGGCCCACCAAGGCGACGAUCAGUAGGGGUUCUGAGAGGAAGGUCCCCCACAUUGGAACUGAGACACGGUCCAAACUCCUACGGGAGGCAGCAGUGAGGAAUAUUGGUCAAUGGGCGGAAGCCUGAACCAGCCAAGUAGCGUGCAGGAAGACGGCCCUAUGGGUUGUAAACUGCUUUUAUGCGGGGAUAAAGUGAGGGACGUGUCCUUCAUUGCAGGUACCGCAUGAAUAAGGACCGGCUAAUUCCGUGCCAGCAGCCGCGGUAAUACGGAAGGUCCGGGCGUUAUCCGGAUUUAUUGGGUUUAAAGGGAGCGUAGGCCGUGGAUUAAGCGUGUUGUGAAAUGCAGGUGCUCAACGUCUGCACUGCAGCGCGAACUGGUCCACUUGAGUGUGCGCAACGCAGGCGGAAUUCGUCGUGUAGCGGUGAAUGCUUAGAUAUGACGAAGAACUCCGAUUGCGAAGGCAGCUUGCGGGAGCACAACUGACGCUGAAGCUCGAAAGUGCGGGUAUCGAACAGG